AUGGAGGGAAAAUGUAAGUUUUAUUUUGAUGCAAAAAAAAUGAAAUCCAUGCAUAGUUUUUUCUUUUUUAAAAUUUAUUUAUUUUAUUUAAAAGGCAGAGCUACUGAGAGAGAGGGAGAGAGAUGUUCAUUCCCUCCGAGGAGCCUGGACCUCCAUCCGGGUCUCCCACACGGGUGCAGGGACCCAAGCACUUGGACCAUCUUCUAUUGCUUGCCUAGGCGCAUUUGCAGGGAGCCAGAUCGGAAGUGGAGCAGCCGGGCCUCGAACUGGCACCACAGCGAGGGAGAGGCAGUGCUUUAAGUCAAAGGAUUUUGCACAGAUGCGACCGCCCUAGCGUGUGACACUCACACACGCACACACCUGGACUUGUGGGGAAGGUGGGGGACUGCCCAUGGAGUGUGUGUGAAAUGGUAGAAUGGAUUUCUCGAAGUGGGAUCGCAGUGUAGACCCAUGAAUGCUCCUAUUUUUUCUUAGAGAGGAUGCAUGUUAAAGGUUUAAAGAUUUGUAGCUGGCACGUGGACGCUGUCUAUGUGGGGUGACCGGCUGCAUGGGGUUUCCUUCCACGGGGGGUUGUAUGCGCCAGGGGUCUCCAUCUGCGUAGGGUUCCUGUCCGCGUGCCCGCCGCCCAGUGUCCCUGUUGGGGAAGCCAAGCUCUCGCCUCCCACAGUGAGCCUGUCUGUGGGGUGAUCCUUCAAAGCCCCUUUAGAGAUACACAGGGCGGUGCGGUCGUCCGCAGCCCUCUCUGUGCCCAGAACUCGGGCGGGAGCACACGAGCGUGCAGCAGGGGGCAGGUGCGGCCAGCCGGGACGCACGCAUGGCGACUGCUCUGCCGCUGACCCUUGACCAACACAGGCUGAUUCACACAGCCCCACUUAGGGGGAUUUUUAUUUUUAGACAUUUGUGACCUUUGGAAAAACCUCACACAUCUUCCGCAUUGACUACAAAUGAGAGCAGCCGGGACUCGAAUGGGAGGGGCUUUAACCCACUGUGCCACAGUGUUGGCCCCCUUCACCACUGAGUUUUAUUCCUUGAGUCCUAGGCAUGGCUUAAGCACAAACAUCCUUCAACACCCACAUCAAUCCCUUGAGGUUAGGGAAUAAUUGUUCCCAUGUUAUAAGAUAGAAAACUAGCAUCAGAGAUUGGCAAUAUAUUCAAGGGAUAGCAUCGUAGCUGGUUAAGCAGCCACCUCUGACGCUGGCAUCCCAUAUGGGCACAGGUUCAAGUCCUGGCUGCUCUACUUCCUAUCCAGCUCCCUGCUAAUGUAUCUGGAAAAAGAGCAGAGGACGGCCCAAACAUUUGGGCCCCUGCACACACAUGGGAGACCCCGAAGAAGCUCCUGGCUUUGGCCUGGCCCAGCCCCAGCCACUGUGGCCAUUUGAAGAGUGAACCAACAGAUGGAAGAUCUCUCUUUCUUUCUCUCACUUUCUCUUUCUGUAACUCUGCCUUUCAGACAAAUAGAUAAAUCUUUAGAAGAGGAAAUAAAAAGUCUCCCAGGGAUGGGAUUUGCCCA
This 1510-nucleotide long non-coding RNA is filed under the name Oryctolagus cuniculus (rabbit). RNAcentral's name for it is "lncRNA (ENSOCUG00000035382.1)". The record is from RNAcentral. Lineage: Eukaryota; Metazoa; Chordata; Mammalia; Lagomorpha; Leporidae.